AUAAUGAUACUCCCGUCCAGCCACAGUCCGAGCGUGAUAGCGAGUCCGGCGUGAAGCCGUCGCAGGCAAUGGGGGCGGUUGCGUGAGAACCACGCAAGGGUGAAAUUCCCGUGG
Molecule: non-coding RNA, 114 nt
Submitted as: unclassified sequences
Source: Rfam